RNAcentral lists this ribosomal RNA (433 nucleotides) under uncultured bacterium. Its description in RNAcentral is "partial 16S ribosomal RNA". It matches the Rfam family "Bacterial small subunit ribosomal RNA", at positions 29 to 507 of the family's 1533-position model. The record is from RNAcentral.
AACGAACGCUGGCGGCAUGCCUAACACAUGCAAGUCGAACGAGACCUUCGGGUCUAGUGGCGCACGGGUGCGUAACGCGUGGGAACCUGCCCUUAGGUUCGGAAUAACUCCCCGAAAGGGGUGCUAAUACCGGAUAAUGUCUUCGGACCAAAGAUUUAUCGCCUUUGGAUGGGCCCGCGUUGGAUUAGCUAGUUGGUAGGGUAAAAGCCUACCAAGGCGACGAUCCAUAGCUGGUCUGAGAGGAUGAUCAGCCACACUGGGACUGAGACACGGCCCAGACUCCUACGGGAGGCAGCAGUGGGGAAUAUUGGACAAUGGGCGAAAGCCUGAUACAGCAAUGCCGCGUGAGUGAUGAAGGCCUUAGGGUUGUAAAGCUCUUAUACCCGGGAUGAUAAUGACAGUACCGGGAGAAUAAGCUCCGGCUAACUCCGUG